RNAcentral lists this long non-coding RNA (4614 nucleotides) under Homo sapiens (human). RNAcentral's name for it is "non-protein coding lnc-CDYL2-1:1". Lineage: Eukaryota; Metazoa; Chordata; Mammalia; Primates; Hominidae. The record is from RNAcentral.
UUCAAAGAACACGUUGAUAGUCUACACCAGAUCUAGAGACAUGGUCCUUUAAGCAGUGACCCUCAAGUUAAUCUGGACUGCUGGUCCUUCUGAUGACCUUGGUUCCCUCCCUGGAAAGCGUGUCUCCUUUAAGAGUUCAUGAGGGUCAGGAAGGAGGGGAAACCUCUCCUUCAGCCAGAGGAGGAUGGAAUUAAAGUCCUGUGCACCCUCCCCUUUGUCCAUGUAGGAUCCUGUAAGGACUUCGGACCUGUCCUACAGGGAGUUACUAUAGGGAGACACCUGCUUUUGCCCAAAUGCCUGUUGUCACAGCUCUAUCUGGAUCUUAUCUCCUCCUUUGAGAAAGCAAAUGUGAGCUUUCCAAAACCCUUAGAUGACCCUGGUUCUUACAUAUUGUGGCAGACAGUGUCUUCACUACUGCUAAAUUUUCAUUAGAAAGAGCCCCCUCUUUUCUGUUGAACUUCUGAUUGGGCGCAGUUAUAUUCAGCAUCGGUUGAAGUGGGGUCAGGAUUCUCCUUGGACAUGGAAGGGGAUGUUUAGAAAUUCCUUUAGAUCAGUGUCCACCUUCAUUCCCUGCUUGAAAGAACUAGAAAUGCUUCAGCUUUGGAUGUACUAUCAAAUCCAAACUUCUAAACAUUUCAAGGAUCUCUGAAGAUUAAGGUAGGAAUGUGAAACCAUUUCUAAGGUGGAAAUCUUGCUGUUAAGUCACAGGUCCUGGGUGUAACGGGGGUGGUGAAAGUCUGUAUUUUGGUUGUUUCCAUACAGUCAGUUCCACCAAUUGGGUGAAAGCAGGUGAAAUCUUUUUGCUGCAGGGUGGACUGAAUUUUUCACUUUCUGGGUAGUUGUUUUGAUCAUGUGUAGGCGAAUUCCAGGUAACUUACAGCAAAUAGAUUUGGGAUGGAAAAUACCAGACCUCUGGUUGUGUCAGGGUUUAUCCUAAUAGCUUUCCUGAGACAGAGCUCAGACUUUCAUUUUUGAUCUUCCACCCCAGGGCCCCCUCUCUGUCUAUGGGAUCCUUUCUCCCCUCUCUCUACCAUUUUCCCGUACCUUCCCCCAUAAGUCACUCCCAAGAGCCUGGGCAGGUCUUUGAGGAAUUGCGGCUCAUUUUGGCAGCCCCGUCCUGCAAUUACCUUUGGGUUUGAAAGAAUAGCUGUGGGUGGGCAAUUGAGGACACCUCUUUAGUCAGGGACCUUUCUAGCAAUCCACUCCCUCCCAUCCUGUUAGCCAUGCAGUGGAACUCUCCUUCCCUCUCUGCCCCAACCCCGGUGAUGGCUCACUCUCAGCAUCUUAUGGGACCAUCUGAGUUAACAACCCUGUUCCAAGAAGACUUUGUGCAGAACUUUUGUUAGGGUGGUCAUACCUUCUCACCACCAUUUGGAAGACACAGCCUAAUGCUGAUGUACUUAAUGUGCCCCUUCCGGCAUAGAAAUAAUGUCUGGGUAACAGCCAUCAAAAUCACUAAGAAUGACAUUGGAUAGCUAUGAGAAAGUAGUAGAGAAUUGAUUUAAAAUAUCAUUCUUGUUUGGUAUAGAUUAAACUAGGAAAUGUUCUCUCUGAAGCAUGAAAAUGUUUUUCCCAUGUGAAGUUUAGUACAAGGAUGGAAAAAUAAUAAUCACAGUAGACUUUGAACAAUGCAACUGUAUCUCUGAAUAUCCACAUUUAAAAAUAGCCUUCACUGAAUGCUGAAUUGCAUUUCCCAUUAAUUUUUGGUUUUAAAAAUUUUGUAAACUUUUUUUUUAUUUGGAAUUUAGUCACAUCCAUUAAAUUUUCCAAUCUAGUUUCUGUGGAAAUUUUUUAACAGAGAGAAACAAAUAGAAACAUCUUCAAAUCUUCCUAAGUGAAUAUUUAAAAUGCAGAAUUGCUUAUCUUCUGUUUUUCUGUAUUCAGACACUUAUAUCUGUUGUAUAUAUUAGUUUAGACACUCUCACUAAUAUACACAGUAUUUAAGACUCUAAAUGAGAUUUCUUAAGUAUUUUAUUUUAUUCUCUGUAAAUGGUUUUGUAUAAUCUUUAAACAUCUACACUUUGCCUUUGUAGAUAUUUAAGGGAAACCAUUUGGGGUUGUCUUGCAUGUAUAUUUUUGUUGUAGAUAAGUGUUGCUUAGUUAUUUCUGCAAAUUUUGGUUGAAAUGCUUACAGACUUUAAUACAGUAUAUAUUUUCAAAAUAUAAACUUUUAUAUUUCUGUGAUAAGUUAGGAUAUGCGUUUUAGGCAAUAUUUUUCAUUAAUAUCACUUGUUCUUUUGAAAAAUAGCAUACUGGUUUGGUGCCAAUUUUUUCAUUAGAAUAUAAUGCUCUUAUAUUGUUGGAGAGCAGGUUAAUCUUUUUUCGAAGUAAUUGCGUUUGAAGUAUAAUUUCAAAAUGUAUUGAAUUUGUGAAUAAGCCUUACCAUUAGGAUCAGUAAAUUUUUCAACUUUGCAACUACAUAAGUAGUUUAAGAUCUCCCCGUAAAUUCUCACUGUGUGGCAGUUGAUGGAGUUUGUGAACAGAGCCUUAAGCUUGUUGCAAAAAAAUUUAAAAAGGGUAAUACGGGUUGUUUCCUCCAUGCAACGUAAGCCAUGCUGAUGGACUGAAUGCAGUCUGUAAUUCAUGGCUAAUCCGAAGAGUUUGAUUGAGUUGAUGGCGGCAGGGACCAGAUAGACACCUUGGUGAUUGUCUUUGGCCAUAAGAAUAGACCAAGGAUAGGUUUUCCAGAGACACCUUCAUACUGUAAACAUGGUUUAGACACGGUCAUAGGGAAGGCUGCUGGUCCAUCAUUUGUUCUGAACAAAUGGCAUUUCCUGCUCCUGACCCUGGCAGUUGGCCCCAGAUUCCUUGUCGAUGACUUGGAAACGUCCAUUCUGGGUAAGGUCAGCACUCCCUGAGAGAUGUUAACAAAGUUUACCUAUGAGUCUUACUGUGUAGACAAUCUGAAGUCAAUUUUAGUUACACAAUCAGCAUUCCCAUGUGUCCUCAGUGUCUUAUCAAUGAACUAUGUGUAUCAAGCCAUACUAAACUGGAGUUUAGCAGGACAAAGGCAAACUAAAUGUAGAACAUAACAUAUCAGCUGAAUAUGUCUAUCCAGGACUGUUUUUCUAGAACAUAAAUCAUGGAGCUCCUUGACAGUGUAUCCACUGUUUUUGGGGUUUAAUAAAACCAACUAGAAUUUAGACUUAAAAAGAAAUUAUUAUUCCUUUUGGUUGUCCACAUAAAGUAGUCCAGGGCUAUCAUAUGGCUAAAAUCAAGUUAUUUGGUUCAUCUCUGGUAUGUAUUUAUAAAGUCAACUUAUCAGCCAUUAAGAUGGAGAUUUGCUUUAAAUUUUUGCAGUGUGUGUGGCAGUCAGAAAAACCCAUAUCUAGUUUUCAACUUCACCUCUGGUGUUUUUAUGGCUUAACCUUAUAUCAUUGAUCCAACAUCUAGCCUGAUGCUGGAGCUCUUAUUUCUAGCCUGAUGCUGGAGCUCUUAUAUCUAGCCUGAUGCUGGAGCUCUUGAAGCUGACUCUUGGAAGUUUGGAGGGUGUAGAGUUUCCCAUCUAGUAUUUAAUUUGUCCCUGUGCCAUUAGUCCCAGCUUGAAGUCAUUUGCCAGUGUCGAUGUUGACAGGAUUGUGACAAUAUUGCCUUUCAUAAAACCGAGAACCAAAGAAUUCCAUUAUUCUAACAAAGCCUGAGUUUCAUAGAUUGUGGGCACAUCUAGACAGAUAUGUGCAUGCUUGAUGGUGCAGAGAAACUGCUGACUUCCACCAACCUCAUGCUCCCCCUGGCUGGCCAUACAGAGGGAUUCGUUGUCAUAUUGAAAAGGCUCUGAAAGAUGAGUUUCUAAUUGAAGCUCACUAUCUCAGGUUGGUGUUUCUACUGUGUAGUCCCAAGCCUGUAUCCAUAUCAUAAAAGUGGAGGCCUGGUACUCCUCCAGGUUAUCUGGCCAGUGUAGACUCCUCCAUCUGAAUAUGAACCUCCAGGGUAAGAAUUUUUCAGACAUGUCUAUACUGAACAGUAGGAUCCUGCACUUUCCAAAUGUCUGCCUCCUUUUGUUCUUCAUUGACCCAUUCUAAUUCCUGUUAGGUGUGAGAAGAAUUGUCUUCAGUUCUCUCUCCAUUCUCAUUCAUGAUGGAAUCAUUGAUCCAUUGACCAGUUGAGAAAUGAUUGAUGCUGAAGAAGUGGUAUUCUAUUGGUAAGGCUUAUUACCAAACUUCCGAUAAUGAAGCAGGCUACCAAAAACUUAUCCAGCCCACCCUAGGAGUGUUUGGAUUUGAUCAUGGAUGUAGCAUACACCAAAAUCCACCGAGACCUUUGCAAAAUUAGGCUACUUGUUUUAUUUUGCCAGAUUAUCAUGGGAGAGUCUUUAACUAGUUCUGAAUAUUUGUAAGUCUGAGUACUUCAUAGAAUUAUAAAGAAGGUACAGCUGACCCCUUCUCACCAUGUUGUAAAUAUUUACUGAGACUGGGUGCAGUACUGAGGGAUAAUAAUCUUCUGAUUUAUCAAAUCCUGACUGUCUAGAGCAAAUUGUACACUCUCUUUGUGAAUGGUCCUGUAACGUGUAUGAACACAUUUCUGGGUGCCUUAGAAGUUGUAUUUUUCAUGUGUGCUAAUAUGCAGUAUUUAUACAUUGUGAGAAGCUGCUUUGAAUAAAAAGGUUGAAACUUC